This 407-nucleotide transfer-messenger RNA is filed under the name Porphyromonas sp. Its description in RNAcentral is "transfer-messenger RNA, SsrA". It matches the Rfam family "transfer-messenger RNA". From Rfam's summary of the family: Bacterial tmRNA, also known as 10Sa RNA or SsrA, is named for its dual tRNA and mRNA-like properties. Its role is to liberate the mRNA from a stalled ribosome. Lineage: Bacteria; Pseudomonadati; Bacteroidota; Bacteroidia; Bacteroidales; Porphyromonadaceae. The record is from RNAcentral. RNAcentral also lists the same sequence under 1 other name.
GGGGAUGAAUUGGCUUUGACAGCGCGAUGACUCUGGUCGGUAAGCAUGUAGUGCGUGGGUAUUCAGCACUAUAAUCUCGGGUAUCGAACUUUUAAUUGGCGAAAACAAUUACGCUCUUGCUGCGUAGUCGAAGUACAGUAGACUGGACGCUUAAUCGCAGUGCCAUUGCAUAGCGACAAGACAUCGCUCUAGUAGCUUCCGCCUUGUAGCGACUAGUUAUAGCGGUGCCGUAAAUACAAGGUCCCCAACCUCUACAUCACCUAAAGGUUAAGGGUAUUAUGGUGGUUAAGGAGCGAGAAUAGUAGUCUCUGCUGGUGCUCACUCCCGACAAUCUGAAGAGAGACUAAACAUGUAGAAAGCCAACUAUAGCCGUGUUUGGACCGGGGUUCAACCCCCCGCAUCUCCAC